RNAcentral lists this long non-coding RNA (7695 nucleotides) under Homo sapiens (human). Its description in RNAcentral is "HSALNT0196696". The record is from RNAcentral. Lineage: Eukaryota; Metazoa; Chordata; Mammalia; Primates; Hominidae.
GUGAGUGACAAAAACUCUGAACUCUUUCUGUUUUUUAACUUCUACAAACUUUUCUAUAUACUCUGUCCCAGGUGGCUGGGCAAAUACUUGAGCCUUGAAAUGAAAUCUUGGAGUAUUCAGUAACUCGCACCAGCUAAAUCAAUCAUGAAUUGUGUAAUAAACUUUAGCCUUUGGCAUUUCAGAAUUUCAAGACUUUUAUUGCGGCAGCUGUUCUUAUAGUUUAUCUUCUAAGUUAUUUGUGUUUUCUUUAUAAUCUGUGUAUACUUUUUAUAAAAGGAGUAAUACAUGAACCUCUGAGUCAGGGAAUAGAGCUAGAAUUGUAUGUUUUUUGCUAUAUGCAAAUGAUAAUUUACUUUGUUUCAUAUUUUUACUUUCAAAAUUAUUUUUAAAAGGUAGUAUUUCAGAUAGAUGAUAUAGUGUUUAAUUACUGUUUAACAAACAUCAUUGCUGUGUGAGAUCUCCCAGGAAACUUGUAAUCACGCAAACAUUGUUUUUGUAAACUUUUAAAAAUCAAAUUUACCUUCAUACUUGUCUAGCAAUUAUCAAUAUGUGGGCAAAGGACUCACACAGAAGAUCUAUUAAAGAAGAACUAAAUAUAUUGAACAAAAUUAUACAAUAGAAUCAGUCUUUCAACAAUAUGACUACUCCAAACCUCAAUAUUACUAAAUUUAUUGUUUUGCUAAUCUUGUUCCACAUAUUUCAAUUUUUUUAAAUGAGUUUCUCUAAGGACUUCUGUGAGCGAGAAGAGUUUGUAUGUUUCUUUAACAUUUUCAUUUCUCUUCUUAUGUUCAAAUGCUCUGACCAUUUUUCUUUGAGUUGUCUAUAUUGUUAUUUCUGAAAUAUAUUAGUUCUUUAGAUAUGUGAAUUUUAAUCAUAUCUGGUAUAUAUACUAUAGAUAUAAUUCCUAAUUUAUCACCAUUAUUUUAACUUUAUUGAUUCAUUUUAAUUUUUAAUAUUCAAGUUUAUGAAAAUAUUUAGUAAUAACUUUUAUACCUCAUUAAUUACUAAGUAGGAAUAUUCUUCCUCGUAUCUAAUAUAUAGUCUGAUAUAAUUCUUAAAAAUAUUUUUGCAGUCGCAUUGUACUUAGCUCUGCAUUUCAUCAGGAGUUUAUUUUUCUAACGCAUGGGGUAGAAACCUAAAUUUUUUUCCUGAAGUAGCAAAGCAUCAUUUAUUGAACUGUCAUCGGUCUAUUCAUACCACAUUUCCCACUGAUUUGAAUAUUGUCUUAAUUGUGUGCUAAAUUUAUGAGUAUGUGGAUCUGCUGAAUUCUGUGAUAUUGACCAGUCUAUCAAGAUCAAUAUUGGCAUGAUACUGUUUUAAUUGCUAUAAAUUUAUAGAAAUAUAUGUUAUGAUAUGUAGCAAAUCAACCAUCCCUCACUAUUAUUUUUGUAUUCUUAAAGUAAUGCUGGAUUGCAAGAAUAAGUAUAUCUCCAAAUUUCAGUGUCUGAAACAAACAGAAGUUUGUUUCUCGUCCAUGUAACCAAGGCAAAUGCUCCUGGUUGGCAGGUGGCUUCCUCCAGGCAGUAAAUCUACAGCCCAGGCUCCCUGCAUCUUAUGGCUCCAAUCACUUUGGAUCUCAUCGUCGCCUGCACAUUGCCAUACACAGGGAAGGAGAAGAGAUGGAGAAGGCAAAGACUUUCUGAAAGCCGUGGCUAAAAGCUGGCAUGUGUCACAUCAGCUCACAUUCCAUUGUAGAGACGGGGUUUCACCGUGUUAGCCAGGAUGGUCUUGAUAUCCUGACCUCGUGAUCCGCCCGCCUUGGCUUCCCAAAGUGCUGGGAUUACAGGCGUGAGCCACCGCUCCCGGCCUGGCAGGCAUUCUUGAGGCAAACGGGAAAUGGGGUAAGUUACACAAUCGAUACAGCUCCGUCAUCGUGGUUUAAUUACUUUUCCACGUACCAUGUUUCCUGACAGGUAGAACGAUCAGCCUGGGCCUCCGUUUUUCAUUCUACAAAGAAUGAAGUGCAUGAACUGUCCUCUAUAGAAUUGUGGAAAAAGUUGUUUUUAUUGAGUUGUGGUUAUCUUUGUCUUCAUGGUCUAAUUACGGAAAUAAAUGCUUUUCCGAGUCUCCGGGGAUGGUCUGCCCUAGUCCAGCUCUCUGCAGUGUCUUUCUGGGUUUUUCCUCAGUGAACGGGAGGAACAUUGGCAGCACUUGUGGUCUGCACCAAGAACUGAAUCGAAUUUCCAUGUGUUAUUGAAUGUUCACAAAGACCUUGUACAGCGAGUGUUACUACCUCUGGUCAAUGAUUCAACUCAAGGCUCAGAAAAGUCAAGUGUCUUGUCCAGGGACACUUAGUCAGAAGUGAAUCCAAGGUUUAAGCUCAAGUCUGCCUAACUCUGAAUUUCACAGCCUUUUGCUACAUAUGGCGAAUAAUAUAUCCCUGAGCACUAAAGGCAGACUCCAAGGAUCUUGUCUCUGCAAUCAUCAUUCUGGCCAUAAUUUAUGAAAAGCAACCCAAAGUAUGUGAUGUAAUAAAAAGUACUAUCUAUGAGUUUACCCUUCCAAAAAUUGAACUGAAUUCUGAGCUCUAAAUUUGGAAUCAAAAGAACUUUUCUCUGCACUAAUCAUUUGGAACAUCACUUAAAGAAAACAACGAAAAACUGGUGUCCCCUGAGAGAAAGCAAUACAAAACAUUAUGCAUAAAGAAAUCCUUCCAAAAAAUAAACCAAAUCCAGUCAAAUCUCUAGUUUUGACUCCUAGCUUACCGGAAAUACGUGAUGGGAAAAAAAUGAAAUGACACCACUAUGAUUCAAUCAGCCAAAUCCAGCAUAUGCAAAUUUCUACCAGAUAAAUGGUUUAGUUUCUUCCCCAAACAAAUGGCACAAGGAAACGGAGGUAAGAAUGGGAUGCUGUUAUAGAUUUUAAAAGAUUUAAGAAAGUAUAAACUAAAUACACUAUGUGCAUCCUCUCUGAACGUGCUUCAAACAUAUCAAGGGGUCAAUGAGCAGUUUUGAAACAAUAAGGGAAUUUGAACACUGAAUGGUUGUCAGAAGAUAGUAAGAGAUCAUUAUUAAUUUUACUAGACAUAAUGAUGUUCUGAUUUUGUUUUUUUUUUAAAAAAAAAACAGUGUUAUUUCCUUUAUAGAUACAUCAUAUAGUAUUAACUAAUGAAAUGCUUUGAUAUCUGGAACGUUUAAAAAAUAUUCCCGAUGGAGUAAGUGCAAAGAAACAGGUAAGCAAAAUGCUGAUAAUUGCUGAAACACAGGAUGUGUACCUGGGGCUUCAUUUACUAUCUCUUCAUUUUCUAUUUUGAUAUUUGUUGGACAUUCUCAUAAAAAGGAAAGUUAUGUUUUAUUUUCUCAUAAGCUAGUAAUGAAAUAGCCCUACGUAACUGAUAUUGUAGAGACAAGAAUAGGUGUAAUAGAGCUUAAGGUUUUCAUUUAAAAAACUAUCUGUAGACUUCAAUGGAUCUUAGGUGGCAUCCAUGCAAUAACACUCGUGGAACAUGCAGGACAGGUGUGGAGCUCCAUCUUCACACAGUGACAUUUUUUAUGCUUCUGUUUUCCCUAAGAGUGGAGUGAGAGGAUGAUUAUUUUAUAUCAUGGACUUCUUCCCUGCUAUACUUUUUUUAAUUAUUUUACUUUCACUUCUGGGAUACAUGUGCUGAGCAUGCAGGCUUGUUUACAUAGGUAUACAUCUGCCAUGGUGGUUUGCUGCACCUAUCAACCCAUCAUACAGGUUUUAAGCCCUGCAUGCAUUAGGUAUUCGCCCUAAUGCUCUCCCUCGCCUUUCCCCCCACCCCCUGAUAGCCCCCAGUGAGUCAUAUUCCCCUCCCUGUGUCCAUGUGUUCUCAUUGUUCAACUCCCAUUUAUGAGUGAGAAUAUGUGGUGUUUAGUUUUCUGUUCCUGUGUUAGUUUGCUGAGAAUGAUGUUUUCCAGCUUCAUCCAUGUCCCUGAAAAGGACAUGAGCUCAUUCUUUUUUAUGGCUGCAUAGUAUUCCACGGUGUUAUAUGUGCCACAUUUUCUUAAUCCAGUCUGUCAUUGAUGGACAUUUGGGUUGUUUCCAAGUCUUUGCUAUUGUAAAUAGUGCUGCAAUAAACAUAUGUGUGCAUGUGUCUUUGUAGUAGAAUGAUUUAUAAUCCUUUGGGUAUAUGCCCAGUAAUGGGACUGAUGGGUCAAAUGGUAUUUCUGGUUCUAGAUCCUUGAGGAAUUGCCACACUGUCUUCCACAAUGGUUGAACUAAUUUAUACUCCCACCAACAGGGUAAAAGCAUUCCUAUUUCUCCACAUCCUCUCCAGCAUCUGUUGUUUCCAAAUGUUUUAAUGAUUGCCAUUCCACCUGGCGUGAGAUGGUAUCUCAUUGUGGUUUUGAUUUUCAUUUCUCUAAUGACCAGUGAUGAUAAGCUUUUUUUCAUAUGUUUGUUGGCCACAUAAAUGUCUUCUUUUGACUUUUAUGUGGAAACAAAUUUAACUGCACAGAGAGGUGAAAAUUAAUUAAUAACUUUUAAAGUAAUUCCCUAAGUUUCUAAGGAUCUAUAUGUUUCCAUCUGACUUUAUUUUAUUUAAGCUCUUGAUUGAUGCUGCAUUUGGAGCAGGUUCAUGAACAUGAAUAGAGUUAAUCUGGGACAGAUUUCCCUCAUUUGAUUUUUUCACUGUUUCCAUCACAGAACUUAUUUCAUGCUCACCAUGUUUGCAGGCAUUGAGCUUGGUACUGGAGCCACAGAGCUGGAUCAGACAGACUUGUGCAAAUAUUUCAGGUUUUUUUUGUGGGGGGGUCAUAUUUAUAGAUAAAUAACAGUAAAGAGUGACGGGUUCUUAUGAAAAUGCAUACACAGUGAAGUAGAGGGUGAAAAGGAGGGAUGUGUUCUAUGAGGAGGAAGAGUGAUAAGAAAGUGUAAGGGGAUGUGUCUGUGUCUAGACAUAUGUGUGUUCACGUGUGUGCGUGCUUGUGUGUACUGCAUGUGUAUAUGUGUGGCCAUGCACCUGUGUGCAUGUUCAUGUGUGUGUGUGUAUGUGUCUGUGUUGAGGACUAAAUUAAUUGGGCUUAUGGAAGCAGGGAGCCACUGAUAGGUUUAAUUAGAGACUGACAUGAUAUGAUAGUUUAGGUGGAUUUCUCUGGGGGCUGUGUUGAGGGACAGUGGGGAGGAGAGCUAGAAGGAAGAAAAGGACACAUGCAUAACAGAAGCAAUAUCUGUCUAUGGGAUGGUGGAAAGAAUCAGAAAAGACUUAAUAAAACAUGUGACACUUUAACUGAAUCUUGAAAUAGACAAGUGUUGGAGGAGGGAGUUGGACCAGAUACUUCAUGCAAAGGGAAGAAAAGUGCACAAACAAAAUAUGAGAAACAAGGCAGACAGGCAUUUUUUUAAAAUUUUCGCACCCACUGAUAGACCAGUGAUGCAUUCACAUCGUCUGCAUUCAUGAUCAACAAAAGUGCUUUCCUAGAACAUGAACCUCAACCCAAGUGUCGCCUCAAGUAGUGUAUGCAUGAACUCAAGCAUUAAAUUAGAAUUGAUUUUUUAAAAAACUCACACAAACAGAUGUAUUAUUUAAAAAUCUUUAAAGCAGGUUUAAACAGUUUUCAGGAUUAAAAGCAGCCACUAUUAGAAAGAACAAAAAUACAUUUGACAUAAAUAUAAGGAGCCUCAAUAGAACCUCCUGUACCCAGUCAUUGUCAAUGCCACAUCCAUUCAUUCACCAGCCCUUAUAUCAAUGCUUGCUGGGCUCACUUACCACGAUCAGCACGUGCAUGUCCUUAUCUGAAAGCUUGCCACUCAAAUGUGCUCAGUCUUACCUGUGUGGCUGGGAGUGUUGGGGAUUUAAUGUCAAGGGAAAGAAUCUUCCAUCAAUGAAUGAUGAAAGUUAGUUUUCACAACUUCCGGUCCCCUUGGCCCUCAUCAAAGGGCUCCAGGUGAGGUUUGGGCUCCUUGCUAUCCUCCGAGUUUCCACGGUAGUUUUAAGCACCAUUGCCCGUGGUAAUGGCUGACAUUGAUACUGCACUUUUUUUUUAUUUAAGAUGGAGUUCCCCUCUGCCACCCAGACUGGAGUACAGUGGCGCGAUCCUGGCCAUCGCAACCUCCGCCUCCCAGGUUCAAGCGAUUCUCCUGCCUCAGUCUCUCAAGUAGCUGGGAUAUGGGCACCUGUCACCAUGCCCAGCUAAUUUUUUUAAAAUUUAUUUUUAGUAGAGAUGGGGUUUCACCAUGUUGGCCAGGCUGGUCUCGAACUCCUGACCUCAGGUGAUCCACCCACACUUUUUAUUGUUUGCCUACACUUUCUAGACUUGCUUCAUCAGCCUACUCCGUUUCUGGUUGAUAUGGUUUGGUUGUGUCCCCACUCAAAUCUUAUCUAGAAGUGUAAUCCCCAAGUCUCAAGGGAGGGACCUGGUGUGAGGUGAUUGGAUUGGGGGGUGGUUCCCGCCAUGCUGUUCUCAUGAUAGUGAGUGAGUUCUCAUGAGAUCUGAUGGUUUUAUAAGGCAGUUUUCCCUAUUCUUGCUCACUCUUCUCUCUCUUUCUGCCAUGUGAAGAAGGUCCUUGCUUCCCCUUCACCUUCUACCAUGAUUGUAAGUUUCCUGAGGCCUCCCCUCAGCCAUGCACAACUGUGAGUCAAUUAAACCUCUUUCCUUUAUAAAUUACUCAGUCUCAGGUCGUAUCUUUAUAGCAGUAUGAGAAUGGACUAAUACACUGGUCUAUCCUUCAUCCAAAUUAACUACCUGCACUGCAGUCCUUGUCUCAGGCUCUGCUUUGAGGGACCCCAACUGUGACAGCCGCAUUAGAAUGCAUCACAUACUGCAGUGAAAUUCUAGAGUGGGUGUUGUCAGGUGGUGAUGAUUGUUAGAUAUGUCAGUCUGUUUUCAGGCUGCUGAUAAAGACAUACCUGAGACUGGGUAAUUUAUAAAGGAAAAGGAGGUUUAAUGGACUCACAGUUCCACAUGGCUAGGGAGGCCUCACAAUCAUGGCAGAAGGUGAAAGGCACGGCUUACAGGGUGGCAGCAAGAGAGGAAAUGAGAACCAAGUGAAAAGGUUUCUGCUUAUAAAACCAUCAGCUCUUGUGAGACUUAUUCAUUACAAUGAGAACAAUAUGGGGGAAACUGCCCCCAUGAUUCAAUUAUCUCCCACCAGAUCCCUCCUACAACACAUGAGAAUUGUGGGUGCUACAAUUCAAGAUGAGAUUUGAGUGGGGACAAAGUCAAACCAUAUCAUUAGAUAGGACACUGGAGAAAGGCAAGAAAGAAAAGACAUCUGAAGAAUGAAGGGAGCCAAAGAAAUGCCAACAUUUUGCUUUUUGAAGAAAAGCUAAAUUAAAGUCAAAAUGGAUUUAUCAAUUUCCUUGGGUUCGUGAAUGUACAGAACUUUAUUAAGACUGUCAUGCUGUCAUCAUGGCUGGAUCUGAUACGGCCACCGUGGACCUUGAGGUGACCUCGGGAAUGGAGACAGUGCAUGGGAGAGAAUCACAUUGGAAGGGGCCUGGGUUUCUGAAGACCCUGUAAGACAGAUCUCCUUGCAGCCCUGACUGCCCACAUUAGGGCUUUUAUGUUAGGGUGAAGUUACCUUGCAUUGUCAUAUAAGCAAUUGCUAUUUGUGGUGUCUUGCAAAUAAACCUAUUCUGAUCUAGUAUGUUUCCUAAAAAACAAAAGUUUGAACCCAGCUCUUUACGUGUUACAUGUUCUGAAUACAAAAAUAAGACCCAGUUUCUGCCCCCUAGCAGGACCCAAAACCCCUCAGUGAAGGCAUACACCAUAGGAAUAAUCUCACAAGUACUUU